Molecule: ribosomal RNA, 1126 nt
Filed under: uncultured archaeon
Lineage: Archaea
Description: bacterial SSU rRNA
Rfam family: Archaeal small subunit ribosomal RNA
Source: RNAcentral
CCCGGAGAUGGACCCUGAGACAGUGGUCCAGGUCCUACGGGGCGCAGCAGGCGCGAAACCUUCGCAAUGCGCGAAAGCGCGACGAGGUUACUCCGAGUGCCGCCCGCUGAGGGUGGCUUUUCCCAGGUCUAACUAGCUUGGGGAAUAAAGGGAGGGCAAGUCUGGUGUCAGCCGCCGCGGUAAUACCAGCUCCCUGAGUGGUCGGGAUGAUUAUUGGGCCUAAAGCAUCCGUAGCCGGCUUCGUAGGUCUUCCGUUAAAUCUAACGGCUUAACCGUUAGGCCGCGGGAGAUACCGCGAGGCUAGGAGGCGGGAGAGGCUGAUGGUACUCCGGGGGUAGGGGUAAAAUCCACUGAUCCUCGGAAGACCACCAAUGGCGAAGGCGGUCAGCCAGAACGCGCUCGACGGUGAGGGAUGAAAGCUGGGGGAGCGAACCGGAUUAGAUACCCGGGUAGUCCCAGCCGUAAACGAUGCGAGCUAGGUGAUGGAGCGACUAUGUGUUGCUCCGGUGCCGCAGGGAAGCCGUUAAGCUCGCCGCCUGGGGAGUACGGUCGCAAGGCUUGAAACUUAAAGGAAUUGGCGGGGGAGCACCACAAGGGGUGAAGCCUGCGGUUCAAUUGGAGUCAACGCCGGGAAUCUUACCAGGAGCGACAGCAGGAUGAAGGUCAGGUUGAAGACUUUACCAGACGAGCUGAGAGGAGGUGCAUGGCCGUCGUCAGCUCGUGCCGUGAGGUGUCCUGUUAAGUCAGGCAACGAGCGAGACCCCCACUGUUAGUUGCUUACAUCAACCUCGCAAGGGGUUGGUGUGGCUAAUUAAUGGGACUGCUACCGCUAAGGCGGAGGAAGGAGGAGGCGACGGCAGGUCAGUAUGCCCCGAAUCCCCUGGGCUACACGCGGGUCACAAUGCGCAGGACAAUGGGAUGCAACUCCGUAAGGAGAAGCCAAGCCCCUAAACCUGCGCUCGGUUCGGAUCGAGGGCUGCAACUCGCCCUCGUGAAGCUGGAAUCCCUAGUAAUCGCGUGCCAACACCGCGCGGUGAAUACGUCCCUGCUCCUUGCACACACCGCCCGUCAAAGCACUCGAGUAGGGCUCGGAUGAGGCUGGUUCAAGUUGGGCCGAUCGAAUCCG